RNAcentral lists this ribosomal RNA (691 nucleotides) under Oenococcus oeni. RNAcentral describes it as "bacterial LSU rRNA". It matches the Rfam family "Bacterial large subunit ribosomal RNA", at positions 2234 to 2925 of the family's 2925-position model. Lineage: Bacteria; Bacillati; Bacillota; Bacilli; Lactobacillales; Lactobacillaceae. The record is from RNAcentral.
AGUUAUCCUGAUCGAAGACAGUGUCUGGCAGGCAGUUUGACUGGGGCGGUCGCCUCCUAAAAGAUAACGGAGGCGCUCAAAGGUUUGCUCAGAAUGGUUGGAAAUCAUUCGUAGCGUGUAAAGGCAUAAGCAAGCUUGACUGUGAGACUGACAAGUCGAGCAGGUACGAAAGUAGGACUUAGUGAUCCGGUGGUUCCGUAUGGAAGGGCCAUCGCUCAACGGACAAAAGCUACCCCGGGGAUAACAGGCUCAUCUCCCCCAAGAGUCCACAUCGACGGGGAGGUUUGGCACCUCGAUGUCGGCUCAUCGCAUCCUGGGGCUGUAGUCGGUCCCAAGGGUUGGGCUGUUCGCCCAUUAAAGCGGUACGCGAGCUGGGUUCAGAACGUCGUGAGACAGUUCGGUCCCUAUCCGUCGUGGGCGCAGGAAAUUUGAGAGGAUCUGUCCUUAGUACGAGAGGACCGGGAUGGACAUACCUCUGGUGUACCAGUUGUUCUGCCAAGAGCACCGCUGGGUAGCUACGUAUGGAUUAGAUAAUCGCUGAAAGCAUCUAAGUGAGAAACUAACCUCGAGAUGAGAUUUCCCAUUCGUCAGAAGUAAGACCCCUGAGAGACGAUCAGGUAGAUAGGCUAGAAGUGGAAGUGUAGUGAUGCAUGGAGCGGACUAGUACUAAUAGGUCGAGGACUUAACCAAG